This 255-nucleotide long non-coding RNA is filed under the name Ananas comosus (pineapple). RNAcentral describes it as "long non-coding RNA (ACOM_LNC021187)". Lineage: Eukaryota; Viridiplantae; Streptophyta; Magnoliopsida; Poales; Bromeliaceae. The record is from RNAcentral.
UUUUAUUUUCAGCCAUAGAUUUUGAGCACUUUCGAUCGUUAGUGUCACGCCCCCGCCCCGAAGCCGAUACCAAUUUGGCCGGUUCGGGCGCGGCGAACGGACCGCCGAACGGACAGCACCUCCCCUGUCCGCCCAAGGCUCAAUGACGAGAUUGUGUACAACAAGUUUCCAGGACAACAACUUGAAUACAUACACAAUCAUACAACAACAACGAAAGCAUGAUAAGUGCUAUACAAUACGAGAGCAAGCAUCACG